This 253-nucleotide ribosomal RNA is filed under the name uncultured bacterium. RNAcentral describes it as "partial 16S ribosomal RNA". It matches the Rfam family "Bacterial small subunit ribosomal RNA", at positions 524 to 776 of the family's 1533-position model. The record is from RNAcentral.
UACGGAGGGUGCUAGCGUUAAUCGGAAUUACUGGGCGUAAAGCGCGCGUAGGCGGUUUGGUAAGUCGGAUGUGAAAGCCCCGGGCUUAACUUGGGAAUGGCAUUCGAUACUGUCAAGCUGGAGUAUGGUAGAGGGAAGCGGAAUUCCGCAUGUAGCGGUGAAAUGCGUAGAUAUGCGGAGGAACACCAGUGGCGAAGGCGGCUUCCUGGACCAAUACUGACGCUGAGGCGCGAAAGCGUGGGGAGCAAACAGG